GGGGGGACACGGGUGCUCGCCCGUCGAGCGUGCUCGACGGGAGGAAAGUCCGGACUCCAAGGGCAAGGACGCUGGAUAACGUCCAGGCGGAGCGAUCCGACACCAGCACCACAGAGAAUAAACCGCCGAUGGCCGGUGCAAGGAUUUCGAUCGCUUGCACCGGAUCAGGUAAGGGUGAAACGGUGGGGUAAGAGCCCACCGCGGUGAUGGCGACAUCAACGGCACGGUAAGCGUCGUCCGGAGCAAGACCAAA
Molecule: RNase P RNA, 253 nt
Filed under: Nitrospira sp.
Lineage: Bacteria; Pseudomonadati; Nitrospirota; Nitrospiria; Nitrospirales; Nitrospiraceae
Description: partial RNase P RNA component class A
Rfam family: Bacterial RNase P class A
About the family: Ribonuclease P (RNase P) is a ubiquitous endoribonuclease, found in archaea, bacteria and eukarya as well as chloroplasts and mitochondria.
Source: RNAcentral